RNAcentral lists this unclassified non-coding RNA (359 nucleotides) under Hevea brasiliensis (rubber tree). The record is from RNAcentral. Lineage: Eukaryota; Viridiplantae; Streptophyta; Magnoliopsida; Malpighiales; Euphorbiaceae.
CAACAAUAACAACAACUAAGCCUUCAUCCUAAACUACUCAAUAGCUUUUGACUUAGAGGGUGAAUCUUGAAACAAUAGGAAAAAUUUUCUUUUGUAUUAAAGAAAGGCAAGGAAUUCAAUUCGUUAAGCAUAUUCUAUCCAACUUAGCUUAAUUUUUCUACCUAUUUUCCAAAAUGAGUGAAGAAAUGCCCUCAUUUCUUUUCUUUUUCAUGUUUUUCAUCUCACCACCUCAACAUUUCUUCUGCAAUCUUCUAUUAUUAACAGAUAUGGAACCCAAAAAAUAAAAUAAAAUAGAGCACCUGUUAACAACAAAGUAGACAGAUUCUGGUUUUGCUUGGAUGGCAGUUUUAGUGAAUCCC